GAUGAAGAACGUAGUGAAAUGCGAUAAGUAAUGUGAAUUGCAGAAUUCAGUGAAUCAUCGAAUCUUUGAACGCACAUUGCGCCCAUUAGUAUUCUAGUGGGCAUGCCUGUUCGAGCGUCAUUAAGUCCACUUAAGCCCUGCUUAGUGUUGGGAGACUGCUCCAGCGGUGCUACCCUGUAGCUACCCUGCAGCUCCUCAAAGACAGCGGCGGAGUUGUGGUAUCCUCUGAGCUUAGUAACUUGUUCUAGCUUUCGAGUACACCACUUCCCCUGCCGUAAAACCCUUAAUUUUUAAUGGUUGACCUCGGAUCAGGUAGGAAUACCCGCUGAACUUAAGCAUAUCAAUAACCGGAGGA
Molecule: unclassified non-coding RNA, 355 nt
Filed under: soil metagenome
Description: partial contains 5.8S ribosomal RNA, internal transcribed spacer 2, and large subunit ribosomal RNA
Rfam family: 5.8S ribosomal RNA (bases 1-120)
Source: RNAcentral